RNAcentral lists this ribosomal RNA (741 nucleotides) under uncultured marine group III euryarchaeote. RNAcentral describes it as "bacterial SSU rRNA". It matches the Rfam family "Archaeal small subunit ribosomal RNA", at positions 1 to 748 of the family's 1478-position model. The record is from RNAcentral. Lineage: Archaea; Methanobacteriati; Thermoplasmatota; Thermoplasmata; Candidatus Thermoprofundales.
UUCCGGUUGAUCCUGCCGAAGGCUACUGCUAUUGGAGUUCGAUUAAGCCAUGCGAGUCUAAGGGACUUCGGUCCCUGGCAUAAUGCUCAGUAACAAGUGGAUAAUCUGCCCUUAGGUGAGGAAUAAACCCGGGAAACUGGGGCUAAUACCUCAUAGACACAAGAAGCUGGAAUGCUCCUGUGUUCAAAGCUCCGGCGCCUAAGGAUGAGUCUGCUUCCUAUCAGGUUGUAGUCAGGGUCAAGACCUGACUAGCCAGCGACGGGUACGGGGUGUGAGAGCACUUGCCCGGAGAUGGUUUCUGAGACACGAAACCAGGCCCUACGGGGCGCAGCAGGCGCGAAAACUUCGCAAUGCGGGAAACCGUGACGAGGGAACUCCAAGUGUCUAUGCAAUGCAUAGACUGUUUUUCAGCCUAAACAGCUGUUAGAGUAAGAGGUGGGCAAGACCGGUGCCAGCCGCCGCGGUAACACCGGCACCUCGAGUGGUAGCCACUAUUAUUGGGCCUAAAGCGUUCGUAGCCGGUUUGGUAAAUUCUUGGGUAAAUCGUACAGCUUAACUGUGCGGAUUCCGGGGACACUACCAGACUUGAGACCGGGAGAGAUCAGAGGUACUUGUAGGGGAGCGGUGAAAUGUUGUAAUCCUACAGGGACCACCAGUGGCGAAGGCGUCUGAUCAUAACGGCUUUGACGGUGAGGAACGAAACCCUGGGGCGCAAACGGGAUUAGAUACCCCGGUAGUCCA